CACACCGCCCGUCACGCCAUGGGAGUUGGUUUCACCCGAAGGUGGUGCGCUAACCCGCAAGGGAGGCAGCCAACCACGGUGGGAUCAGCGACUGGAGUG
Molecule: ribosomal RNA, 99 nt
Filed under: uncultured bacterium
Lineage: Bacteria
Description: partial 16S ribosomal RNA
Rfam family: Bacterial small subunit ribosomal RNA
Source: RNAcentral